Molecule: long non-coding RNA, 562 nt
Organism: Triticum dicoccoides
Lineage: Eukaryota; Viridiplantae; Streptophyta; Magnoliopsida; Poales; Poaceae
Exons: 2
Source: RefSeq, a predicted model, not a curated record
GCCGCCGGCUGCCUCCCCGCGCUCCGGCCAACGGCUAGAUCCGGCCGCCACGUCCCUGCGGCGCCCGCAGCCACGGUGCCCGGACCCCAUCUCCACCUAACCACGGCGACCCCAACUAGGCGCUCCCAGCCCCAGCACCACCGACCCCUGCACUACGUCGUCCCAUCUCCUCAACACCGGCGAUUGUGCCACAUUGCACCGCCGUGGCCAGCUCUCCUGCAACCGGCGGCGACUCUCCCUUCCUCCCGCACGACCAUCUGCCCCAGGUCAAGCAAGUUCAGAAAUUGCAGCGCCCUGCAGUUCGUGAGAAUUUCAAAGUUCACACUCCAUUAAGUCAGGGAGAGUCUAGUUUUGCUGCUAGAUCAUCUCAUCUCGUUCGUUCAGCAAAAGGCUCAAGAUAAGUUCAAACUCCAGACUAGUUCACACUUAUGGUUUUGCUCUUUGGUUUAAUACUUCAGUCCAGGCUCCUUUGGUUUUUGUUCUAGAGAAGUUCAAAGUUCAGACUCAUUCUGUUUCUGUUUAGGCAGGGGGAGGGAGCAGCGAGGUGAGUGGCAAAAAAAAA